Molecule: ribosomal RNA, 572 nt
Filed under: uncultured Planctomycetota bacterium
Lineage: Bacteria; Pseudomonadati; Planctomycetota
Description: bacterial SSU rRNA
Rfam family: Bacterial small subunit ribosomal RNA
Source: RNAcentral
GGCUGCAGUCGAGAAUCUUCGGCAAUGGGCGCAAGCCUGACCGAGCGACGCCGCGUGGAGGAUGAAGGCCUUCGGGUUGUAAACUCCUGUCGAGGGGGAGGAAGGGGAAACCUUGACCGAUCCCUGGAGGAAGCACGGGCUAAGUUCGUGCCAGCAGCCGCGGUAAGACGAACCGUGCGAACGUUAUUCGGAAUCACUGGGCUUAAAGCGCGUGUAGGCGGAUGGGAACGUCGGAUACUGAAAGCCCCCAGCUCAACCGGGGAAGUGGUUCCGAAACGACCUGUCUGGAGGGACGUAGGGGGAUCUGGAACUUCCGGUGGAGCGGUGAAAUGCGUUGAGAUCGGAAGGAACGCCCGUGGCGAAAGCGAGGUCCUGGACGUCUGCUGACGCUGAGACGCGAAAGCUAGGGGAGCAAACGGGAUUAGAUACCCCGGUAGUCCUAGCCGUAAACGAUGGGCACUGGGUAGGGGGCUCGCCGAUGGGCUCUCUGCCGUAGCGAAAGCGUGAAGUGCCCCGCCUGGGGAGUAUGGUCGCAAGGCUGAAACUCAAAGGAAUUGACGGGGGCUCACACA